RNAcentral lists this ribosomal RNA (480 nucleotides) under Mileewa cockiheada. RNAcentral's name for it is "partial large subunit ribosomal RNA". The record is from RNAcentral. Lineage: Eukaryota; Metazoa; Arthropoda; Insecta; Hemiptera; Cicadellidae.
AAGUAUUUUCUGCCCAAUGAUUAAAUUUUAAAUGGCUGCAGUAUUUUGACUGUGCAAAGGUAGCAUAAUAAUUAGUCUUUUAAUUGAGGACUGGAAUGAAAGGAUAUAUGAGAAACAUAUUUUAUUAUUUUUAUUUUUAAAAUUUUAUUUUUAAGUAAAAAAGCUUAAUUUUUUUUUAGGGACGAAAAGACCCUAUAGAACUUUAUUAUUUAUUAAUUUUGAAAAUUUUAGUUAAUAUAUUAAAUUAAUUAAUUAAAUAAUUUGAUUGGGGGGAUAAGUAAAUAUUUAACUUUAUUUUUUUAAUUCAUUUAAUUUAUGAAUUUUUUGAUCCAUUUUAUAUGAUUAUAAGAUUAAGUUACCUUAGGGAUAACAGCGUUAUUUUAGUGGGGAGAUCAUAUCUAUACUAAAGUUUGCGACCUCGAUGUUGAAUUAAGAAAAGUUUACAGGGGUAGUUUCUUUAAAAACUAAGUCUGUUCGACU